UUUCCUCAACAUUCCUUAUGAAUGGUCUCAUUCAAGGUGUAAAGGGCCUGCUGUCUUUUCUGAGUGCCCCCCUCAUAGGCACUCUGUCUGAUGUGUGGGGGAGGAAACCCUUUCUCCUCGGCACUGUGUUCUCCACCUGCUUCCUAAUUCCACUGAUGAGGAUCAGCCCUUGGUGGUACUUGGCGAUGAUUUCUGUGUCUGGAGUCUUCUUUGUCACAUUCUCUGUGAUAUUUACCUAUGUAGCUGAUGUCACUCAAGAACACGAGUGAAGUACUGCUUAUGGAUGGGGGAAGACAGAUGUGUACAAGAGGACAGGCUGAAGCCCUUGAGGUCAGAGUGUCAGGACUGGAGUGGCUGGGGGCGGGGAGGGAGAUGCCCUGUGAGCAUCUGUGGGUGUGUGUCUGGGACGUGAACUUGCUGAGGCACGUGACAGUUGUUGAGGGGUGACAUUUUCCCUUCUUCUCUUCUAGGUUCGUUGGCUACCCUAGUCAUACUUAAAUUGACAUCAAAGAGAUUACCAGGGGAAAACGUUUAAUUUUGUACAGAGCUCCACAAAGACCUGAGAGACCCAAAGGCAGUUGGGCAGUUGGAGCUGGUGUGCCAUCCUGCACUGAGGAGAAAGGGGGGUGGGGCCUGGGGCUUUAGAGGGAAAGAAAACCGCUCACAGGACGAGGAGAAGAGCAAAUGUUUGACAAGAAGUGGAAGAAACGCGGAAUAAGUUGCAGGAGUCUGACCUCACCUUCAUCCACAAGAUCGGAGUUCAGGAAAGGAAUGCUCUGGCUAACUGGAUGCAGGCUCGGUAUUGGGAAACAAGGAUGAUGCAGCAGAGCAGGGAGAACGCCUACCUGAAAUACAAAUACUGUGCGUGAUGAAAGGGGAGAUGCUGCCCGUGGGAUCCAUGAGGUGGGAACCGAUGCCAGGAAGGCCUGAGUUGCAGAAGCCUGUGUGGCAAGGGUAAUCAUUUUGUAAUCUGAAGACUUCCUUGAUCUCCAACAACCAGGCUCCAGUGAGUUUAUAUCUAGUCAAGAUAUGAAUGUUUCUGCCUGGUGGUCUGAAUUCUUUCCCUGCCCAUCCUGUCCCCUGUGCUUUGUCUCUCCUGGUAUCUCCCCAAUAAACUGUUCAUGGUUCUGUCUCUGUAACAUCU
Molecule: long non-coding RNA, 1144 nt
Organism: Neogale vison (American mink)
Lineage: Eukaryota; Metazoa; Chordata; Mammalia; Carnivora; Mustelidae
Exons: 9
Source: RefSeq, a predicted model, not a curated record